UACGUAGGGGGCUAGCGUUGUUCGGAAUUAUUGAGCGUAAAGGGCUCGCAGGCGGUUUCUUAAGUCUGAUGUGAAAGCCCCCGGCUCAACCGGGGAGGGGCAUUGGAAACUGGGGAACUUGAGUGCAGAAGAGGAGAGUGGAAUUCCACGUGUAGCGGUGAAAUGCGUAGAGAUGUGGAGGAACACCAGUGGCGAAGGCGACUCUCUGGUCUGUAACUGACGCUGAGGAGCGAAAGCGUGGGGAGCGAACAGG
This 253-nucleotide unclassified non-coding RNA is filed under the name uncultured Bacillaceae bacterium. RNAcentral's name for it is "contains 16S-23S intergenic spacer region". It matches the Rfam family "Bacterial small subunit ribosomal RNA", at positions 524 to 776 of the family's 1533-position model. Lineage: Bacteria; Bacillati; Bacillota; Bacilli; Caryophanales; Bacillaceae. The record is from RNAcentral.